AUGACCAGCAAACGGCGAUGGAGCGAAGAACCGCGCACCCGGAGGAGCGACGGGCGGACCCGCGCGCGUGCCACAGCCACCACGCUGGAGAAGCUGACGAGGGAGGAUGAGCAGCUGGCCGCAGUCCAAUCGCGGGUCGACGCAGCCAUGGGCGAGGCUGACGCGAGCGCUGGUGAUCGUGCUUCACUGCUCGGGGAGCCGGAGCCGUGCGCCGGUCUGAGUCGUGCUUCGACACCCGCGGAAUUUGGCGGAUUGCCGGCAGCAGCGCCUUGUCGCCCGAGGAACUGGGUCGACCGCCGGCCGUCGUGCUCAGCCGGUCGGGGAACCAGGCCGAGCUUUAGCGGCUGUGCGUGUGCGGGCACUCGGCGAUGGCGUCGCAGAUGA
This 384-nucleotide ribosomal RNA is filed under the name Triticum aestivum (bread wheat). Its description in RNAcentral is "partial small subunit ribosomal RNA". The record is from RNAcentral. Lineage: Eukaryota; Viridiplantae; Streptophyta; Magnoliopsida; Poales; Poaceae.